RNAcentral lists this ribosomal RNA (2001 nucleotides) under Triticum aestivum (bread wheat). RNAcentral's name for it is "partial small subunit ribosomal RNA". The record is from RNAcentral. Lineage: Eukaryota; Viridiplantae; Streptophyta; Magnoliopsida; Poales; Poaceae.
AUGGCCGGCGCCGCCGCGCUCCGGCGGGCCGCCCGCAGCGCCGCCCGCGCGCUGGCCAACGCCCCCGCCCCCUCCCGGGCGAUCGUGCUCCCCGAGCGCCUCUUGUCCUCCCAGGCCUCGCCGGAGCACCGCCCCCGCCCCGGCGUGUCGGCGUCGGAGCUGGGGCAGUACCCGCCGGAGCGGAUCCGGAACUUCUCCAUCAUCGCGCACGUCGACCACGGCAAGUCCACGCUCGCCGACCGGCUGCUGGAGCUCACCGGCACCAUCCAGAAGGGCCAUGGGGCUCAGUACCUCGACAAGCUGCAGGUAGAGAAAGAAAGGGGCAUCACCGUCAAAGCCCAAACCGCGACUAUGUUCUACAAGCAUACAGUGGAAAAUCCCGAGUCCCAUGGGACAGAUUCUUCAAGCUAUUUGCUUAACCUGAUUGAUACUCCAGGCCAUGUGGAUUUCAGCUAUGAGGUCUCCAGGUCCCUAGUAGCUUGCCAGGGUGCUCUUUUAGUAGUUGAUGCAGCCCAAGGUGUACAGGCACAAACAAUUGCAAAUUUUUACCUUGCAUUUGAGUCAAACCUUAGCAUUAUUCCUGUCAUUAACAAGAUUGAUCAGCCUACUGCUGACCCAGAUAAUGUAAAGGCCCAGUUGAAGAGGUUAUUUGACAUUGAUCCAAGUGAAGCUCUGCUCACUUCUGCCAAAACUGGUCAAGGCCUUAGCCAGGUGCUACCUGCUGUUAUCGAGCGUAUACCUUGCCCACCAGGGAAUUGUGAUUCACCUGUACGAAUGCUGCUCUUAGAUUCAUACUACGAUGAAUACAAAGGGGUGAUAUGUCAUGUUGCUAUUGUUGAUGGUGCGAUGCGCAAGGGAGAUAAGAUUUCAUCAGCUGCGACUAGUCGCACAUAUGAAGUCUUUGAUGUUGGCAUUAUGCAUCCUGAGCUUACCCCUACCGGAGUGCUUUACACCGGACAAGUUGGAUAUGUUAUAACUGGAAUGCGUUCAACUAAAGAAGCACGGAUUGGUGAUACUCUUCAUCAGGCUAAGACUAUCGUUGAACCACUUCCUGGUUUCAAGCCUGUGAGACACAUGGUCUUCUCUGGUGUAUACCCAGCUGAUGGUUCUGACUUUGAGGCUCUUAGCCAUGCAAUUGAGAAGCUAACAUGUAAUGAUGCCAGCGUGUCUGUUACAAAAGAGACAAGCACUGCACUUGGCAUGGGCUUCAGAUGUGGUUUCCUAGGAUUGCUGCACAUGGAUGUGUUUCAUCAACGGCUUGAACAAGAAUAUGGAGCUCAAGUCAUAUCCACCAUACCAACUGUACCAUAUAUCUUUGAAUAUGGCGAUGAAAGCAAAGUGCAAAUUGAGAACCCUGCGGCCUUGUCUUUCAAUGCUGGAAAACGUAUAACGGCCUGCUGGGAGCCAACAGUCAUUGCAACAAUUAUUAUUCCUAGUGAGUAUGUUGGGCCUGUAAUUAUGCUUUGUUCGGAAAGGAGGGGUGAACAGCAAGAAUAUACAUUCAUUGAUGCUAAUAGAGCUUUAUUGAAGUACCGAUUACCUUUGAGGGAGAUCAUUGUGGACUUCUACAAUGAGUUGAAAAGCAUAACAUCUGGCUAUGCUACUUUUGACUAUGAAGAUUCUGAGUAUCAAAAAUCUGAUCUUGUUAAGAUGGAUAUUCUACUUAACGGCCAGCCUGUUGAUGCUAUGGCUACUAUAAUCCAUAACCAAAAAGCUCAGAAGGUUGGAAGAGAAUUAGUGGACAAGCUGAAGAAAUUUAUAGAAAGGCAAAUGUUUGAGAUCACUAUACAAGCAGCAAUUGGUUCAAAGGUUAUUGCAAGGGAAACCCUGUCAGCAAUGAGAAAGAAUGUUCUGGCCAAGUGUUAUGGUGGUGAUAUCACCCGCAAAAAGAAGUUGCUAGAGAAGCAGAAGGAAGGGAAGAAGCGUAUGAAACGUGUCGGGUCUGUCGAUAUCCCCCAAGAAGCGUUCCAUGAGCUACUAAAGGUCUCCAGUUCAAAGUAG